CCCGCAAAAUGCAAUUAAUCAAAAACCUUCAGCUCCAUUACCGCUGGUAUGGCCACAAAAGCACGAAGAAACCUCUCAAUUUUCUACACUAGAAGACACUUCACCGUCGUCGGAGCCAAAUUCGCCGGCACGAGGUCUCCGGCAGCAUGGAAGAUUGGAAACUUACUCGUUGUCGCUUCAAUUACAAAAGCUUUGACAGCACCAGGAGGAACACGUAACCUAGAAAAAUACAACGAUUCAAUUCCCCUAUCAGAAAACCUAGUCCUUCAAAUCCUUCGCCGUAACAAUUUAGACGCCGCCACUAAACUCGACUUCUUCAAAUGGUGCUCUCUCAGGCCCAAUUUCAAACACUCCACCGAAACGUACUCUCAAAUGUUCAGAUCCAUUUGCUAUUAUUAUUCUCACAAUCACUGGGAAGAUAUUUUCGUUCUCCUCAACUCCAUGAAGCAUGAUGGAGUGUCGCUUAAUUCGGCCACAUUUAAGUUGUUGCUCGACUCGUUUACUCGAGCUGGUAAUUUUAAUUCAGCUCUUGAGAUUUUGGAAUUCAUGGAGAGUAAUCUGGAAAAUUCUAAUAUUAAUUGUUUAAGUCCUGAUGUAUAUAAUUCUGUACUUAUUGCACUUGUAAAAAAAAAUCAAGUUAAUUUAGCUUUGUCAAUUUUCCUUAAAUUGUUGGAAACUAAUGAUGGGAAUGGUAAUAGCAUUGGGAUUAGCGAUGCUGUUGCAUGUAAUGUGUUGCUUGUUGGUCUUAAGAGGGCUAAUAUGAGGGAUGAAUUUAAACAAGUUUUUGAUAAGCUUAGAGGAAAGAAGAAUAUUUUUCCGUUGGAUAGAUGGGGAUAUAAUAUAUGCAUUCACGCAUUCGGCUGUUGGGGGGAUUUGUCUAGUUGCUUGAGUCUUUUUAAAGAAAUGAAGGAAAGGGGAAGUUGGUUUAGUCCUGACUUGUGCACUUAUAAUAGCUUGAUUCAUGUGCUUUGCUUGCUCGGGAAGGUCAAGGAUGCUCUUGUUGUGUGGGAGGAAUUGAAGGGAUCUUCGGGUUUGGAACCUGAUGUUUAUACUUAUCGAAUUGUUAUACAAGGUUGCUCUAAGGCUUACCUGAUAAAUGAUGCGAUAAAAGUGUUCAGUGAGAUGCAGUAUAACGGUAUACGUCCGGAUACUAUUGUUUAUAACUCCCUCUUAAAUGGAUUGCUCAAGGCGAGAAAGUUGACAGAUGCGUGCAAUUUGUUUCAGAAAAUGAUUGAAGAUGAUGGUGUUCGAGCCAGCUGCUGGACCUAUAAUAUUCUUAUUGAUGGCUUGUUUAAGAAUGGGAGGGCUUUGGCUGCUUAUACCCUAUUCUGCGAUUUGAAGAAGAAAAGUAAUAAUUUUGUGGAUGGGGUUACUUAUAGCAUUGUCAUUUUGCAUCUUUGUCAGGAAGGUAGGCUUGAUGAAGCACUGAAGUUGGUGGAAGAGAUGGAAGCUAGAGGGUUUAUUGUUGAUUUGGUUACCAUUACUUCUCUCUUGAUUGCAAUUUACUGGGAGGGGCAUUGGGACUAUACAGAGAGGCUUGUGAAACACGUUAGGGAGAACAAUUUAGUUCCAAUUAUUCUUAGGUGGAAAGACAGUAUGGAAGUUACAAUGAAAGCUCCACAGAGCAGAGAAAAGGAUUUCACACCCAUUUUUCCAUCGAAUGGGAACUUUGGUGAUAUUCUAAGCCUAGAAGAUUUAACAGACCCUGCGACUGAUACUGCCCUUGGGGCAGAGGAUGAGAGGGAUCCGUGGUCAUCAUCACCAUAUAUGGACAUGCUGGCUAGUAAAGCGAGCUCCCAAAGUCAUGCUACAAGAACAUUCUCUCUUACCGGAGCAAAACGAGUAGACACUAAAGGUGCAGAUUCUUUUGAUAUUGGCAUGGUGAAUACCUUCUUAUCAAUAUUUUUGGCCAAAGGAAAAUUGAGCAUGGCCUGUAAGUUAUUUGAAAUUUUCACCAGCAUGGGUGCUGACCCGGUUAGUUAUACUUACAACUCUAUGAUGGGUUCAUUUGUCAAGAAGGGAUAUUUCGACCAGGCUUUGGGUGUUUUACAGGAAAUGGGCGAGAAGGUUUGCCCUGCUGAUGUAGCAACUUACAAUGUGAUAAUCCAGGGGUUGGGAAAGAUGGGAAGGGCUGAUCUUGCUGGUGCAGUGCUCGACAAGCUGAUGAAACAGGGGGGUUACCUUGACAUUGUAAUGUAUAACACCUUGAUAAAUGCGCUCGGGAAGGCUGGAAGAAUUGAGGAAGUACACAAGCUUUUCCGGCAGAUGAAAGAUAGUGGAAUCAAUCCAGAUGUUGUCACUUACAAUACACUAAUUGAAGUUCAUGCCAAGGCAGGUCAGCUUAAGCAAGCUUACAAGUUUUUAAGGAUGAUGUUGGAAGCAGGGUGUGCCCCCAAUCAUGUCACUGACACAACUUUGGACUUUCUGGAGAAGGAGAUUGAAAAACUGAGAUACCAGAAGGCGUCCAUUAAACGCCCCAAUGUUGAUAACUCGUUAUGAGAAGAACUUUCAGCUUUAGAGGAGUGAGUUCAGUAAUGGCGGGCAAUUCAUAUGGCUGGUAUUCAGAAUAGAGUUGGUUGUUUUUCAUGAAUGUAAAAGCAGGGACAAUAUAUGCCUGACAUUGUCCUCAUUCUGCCAGUGAAGCUUGGCCCUUACGAAGGAAAAUUCAACCUGCGCGUGGUGAUUAUAAAUGACUUCGAGUUGAUAGUUGGAUUGGAGUUCCUGAGGCAAACCAACACCAUGCCCGUAGCGUAUGCUGACAUGUUACUGAUGAUGGGAGCAAACGGGCCAAGCCCUGCAUUAUCCCGUGCAUGCCUAGGAAGAUGGCCGCUGAGAACAUCUCGGCCUUGCAGUUGAAGAAGGGGGUCAAAAGACAUGAAGCUACGUUCUUGGCAACCCUCUGCGUUGAAGAUAUAGAACGCUCCUCGGGUCCCAUUACUGCACCCGUGAAGGAGCUGCUACUGGAGUUUGAAGAUGUCAGGCCACAGGACAUGCCAAAGCGACUCCUGCCUAAGCGCUUUGUGGACCAUGAGAUUUCUGCAUUUCCAAAUUAUGCUCUUACGUUCUCCAGGCUCCAUGUCUUAAGUUUUUCAUUUGAACAAAUUCUUAUAUUUUAGGAGGCUCGGGAAGAAGUUGAAUUCAUAGAAAUUGAAUUGAGUGCCUAGAAUUCAUAGAAAAAGUGAGUGCAAAGGGUUGUCAAAACUCAUAAUUUACAGAAACAAAGAAGCAGAUGAAAACCAUCUGACAGGAACUUGAUGAUGGCACAUAACUGAGCUCUCGCAAUGGCUAUUUCUCAUCUUAGUGGAUUGCUUUGAAA
Nicotiana attenuata is the source of this 3316-nucleotide RNA transcript. It is a transcript of the gene named pentatricopeptide repeat-containing protein At4g01570, with no coding region annotated. The transcript has 3 exons. Lineage: Eukaryota; Viridiplantae; Streptophyta; Magnoliopsida; Solanales; Solanaceae. The record is from RefSeq and is a predicted model, not a curated record.